RNAcentral lists this ribosomal RNA (460 nucleotides) under uncultured bacterium. RNAcentral's name for it is "partial 16S ribosomal RNA". It matches the Rfam family "Bacterial small subunit ribosomal RNA", at positions 338 to 795 of the family's 1533-position model. The record is from RNAcentral.
CCUACGGGUGGCAGCAGUGAGGAAUAUUGGUCAAUGGGCGGAAGCCUGAACCAGCCAAGUCGCGUGAGGGAAUAAUGCCCUACGGGUCGUCAACCUCUUUUGCCGGGGAGCAAGGGCGAGGACGUAUCCCGGCCCGGAGAGUACCCGUAGAAAAAGCAUCGGCUAACUCCGGGCCAGAGGCCGCGGUAAUACGGAGGAUGCGAGCGUUAUCCGGAUUUAUUGGGUUUAAGGGGUGCGUAGGCGGGCGUUGAGGUCAGCGGUAAAAAUUCGGGGCUAAACCCAGUCCGGCCGUUGAAACUGGGGGCCUUGAGUGGGCGAGAAGAAGGCGGAAUGCGUGGUGUAGCGGUGAAAUGCAUAGAUAUCACGCAGAACCCCGAUUGCGAAGGCAGCCUUCCGGCGCCCUACUGACGCUGAGGCACGAAAGUGCGGGGAUCGAACAGGAUUAGAUACCCCGGUAGUC